This 498-nucleotide ribosomal RNA is filed under the name Triticum aestivum (bread wheat). Its description in RNAcentral is "partial small subunit ribosomal RNA". Lineage: Eukaryota; Viridiplantae; Streptophyta; Magnoliopsida; Poales; Poaceae. The record is from RNAcentral.
AUGGCGUUGCUUGACAUUAGGGGUAUGUUGCAGUCCAUGGGCAAAGACAUAUCUGAUUUCGCUCUUCCAUGCAUUGACGAUGCGUUCGACCCAACCGAGGGCGAGGCCAGAGAAGUGAUCGAGGAAUCCAACGUCGAUUUUGACAUCAACGACACUAAAUUGGCUUCGUCGCUAAACUUGGAGCAGAGGGCUGCAUACGACGAGAUACUAGCUUCUGUUGAACGCGGUGAUGGGGGUGUGUUCUUUGUUGAUGGACCGGGAGGUACAGGGAAGACCUUCCUGUACAGGGCGCUGCUCGCCAAGGUUCGAAGCGAGGGAAACAUCGCUAUCGCUACCGCGACGUCAGGCGUCGCCGCUUCUAUCAUGCCUGGAGGCAGGACUGCCCACUCGAGGUUCAAGAUCCCAUUGAGCUGCGACGAUGGCGCCUCAUGCACUUUCACGAAACAGAGUGGUACUGCCAAGCUACUGAGGAUGGCAUCAUUGAUACUAUGGGACUAG